RNAcentral lists this ribosomal RNA (670 nucleotides) under uncultured bacterium. RNAcentral's name for it is "bacterial SSU rRNA". It matches the Rfam family "Bacterial small subunit ribosomal RNA", at positions 8 to 689 of the family's 1533-position model. The record is from RNAcentral.
AGAGUUUGAUCCUGGCUCAGGAUGAACGCUAGCGACAGGCUUAACACAUGCAAGUCGAGGGGCAGCGGGGUAGUGCUUGCACUACUGCCGGCGACCGGCGCACGGGUGAGUAACACGUAUGGAACCUGCCCGCAGCAGGGGGAUAAGCGGAAGAAAUUCCGUCUAAUACCGCGUAACAACGUUGGGAGGCAUCUCCCGAUGUUUAAAGAUUUAUCGGCUGCGGAUGGCCAUGCGGCGCAUUAGCUAGUCGGCGGGGUAACGGCCCACCGAGGCGACGAUGCGUAGGGGUUCUGAGAGGAAGGUCCCCCACACUGGUACUGAGACACGGACCAGACUCCUACGGGAGGCAGCAGUGAGGAAUAUUGGUCAAUGGCCGAGAGGCUGAACCAGCCAAGUCGCGUGAGUGAAGAAGUAAUUCGUUAUGUAAAGCUCUAUCAGCAGGGAAGAAAAUGACGGUACCUGAUUAAGAAGCCCCGGCUAACUACGUGCCAGCAGCCGCGGUAAUACGUAGGGGGCAAGCGUUAUCCGGAUUUACUGGGUGUAAAGGGAGCGUAGACGGCAGUGCAAGUCUGGAGUGAAACGUAUGAGCUCAACUCAUGCAUGGCUCUGGAAACUGGAGGACUGGAGAGCAGGAGAGGGCGGUGGAACUCCAUGUGUAGCGGUAAAAUGC